UUUGUCCAAUGGGAACUGGAAGAAGCUAACGAGCUCUCUCAGUGUGCCGAAAAGGAUUGAACAAAACUGGAAAAGCCACCCUUCCUUGAGAUACCAUGAGAAUUUACCACUCUUUCUGCGCUGUUUUACUGUUGGGUGGAUUUAUACCAGGAUUUUGUCUCGGACUGUUGAAAUAUUGCAGCGACUCCACAUGUAUGAGGAAGCAGUCAAGGAACUUGAAAGCCUUUUGUCCCAGAGGGUUUAUUGUCCUGACAGCAGAGGCCGGUGGUGGGAUAGACUGGCUCUCAACUUACACCAGCACUUGAAACGCCUUGAACCGGUAUUCAGUAACCAGAUAUACCUGAGCCUUCUUUAACUUCUGCAUAAGUUAAAAUACAUAGCCAGCUAUUAAUACCUUAGAAACCUAAAUGUAGGGGCGCCUGGGUGGCUCAGUCGUUAAGCAUCUGCCUCCGGCUCAGGGCGUGAUCUCGGCGUUCUGGGAUCGAGCCCCACAUCAGGCUCCUCUGCUAGGAGCCUGCUGCUUCCUCUCCCACUCCCCCUGCUUGUGUUCCCUCUCUCGCUGGCUAUCUCUCUCUCUGUCAAAUGAAUAAAAUCUUUAAAAAAAAAGAAAAAAAAGGAACC
Molecule: long non-coding RNA, 621 nt
Filed under: Ursus americanus (American black bear)
Lineage: Eukaryota; Metazoa; Chordata; Mammalia; Carnivora; Ursidae
Description: lncRNA (ENSUAMG00000000826.1)
Source: RNAcentral